CAGAAGUGUGGGUGUGACCAGCACCUACUCAGCUGGCCAGUGUGGAGUCCGCCUGUCGCUGCUUCAGUCUUGAUCACACGUGACACUGUGAGAGACUGAGCAUGAUGCGUGUGGGUUAGAGCACAACAUACUUCCCUGGAAUGAUUGAUGUGGAAAUGAGUGUGCAGGGCUCCUGUGGCUUCCCAGACAGAGGAGUGCCUGUGCCCGCCCUGUGACAUUCGGCACUGCUCCCUUCUUCAUCGGCCUGCAUCUCCGCCUUUUCUGUUUCUGGAAAAAGUUUCUUAAUAUCUGAGCCGAGCA
Molecule: long non-coding RNA, 300 nt
Filed under: Fukomys damarensis (Damara mole-rat)
Lineage: Eukaryota; Metazoa; Chordata; Mammalia; Rodentia; Bathyergidae
Description: lncRNA (ENSFDAG00000030642.1)
Source: RNAcentral